UGCCUUUAGGUUCGGAAUAACUCAAAGAAAUUUGAGCUAAUACCGGAUAAUGUCUUCGGACCAAAGAUUUAUCGCCUUUAGAUGGGCCCGCGUUAGAUUAGAUAGUUGGUGGGGUAACGGCCUACCAAGUCGACGAUCUAUAGCUGGUCUGAGAGGAUGAUCAGCCACACUGGGACUGAGACACGGCCCAGACUCCUACGGGAGGCAGCAGUGGGGAAUAUUGGACAAUGGGCGAAAGCCUGAUCCAGCAAUGCCGCGUGAGUGAUGAAGGCCUUAGGGUUGUAAAGCUCUUUUACCAGGGAUGAUAAUGACAGUACCUGGAGAAUAAGCUCCGGCUAACUCCGUGCCAGCAGCCGCGGUAAUACGGAGGGAGCUAGCGUUGUUCGGAAUUACUGGGCGUAAAGCGCGCGUAGGCGGCUUUUCAAGUCAGGGGUGAAAUCCCGAGGCUCAACCUCGGAACUGCCCUUGAAACUGGAUGGCUAGAAUAUUGGAGAGGUCAG
This 500-nucleotide ribosomal RNA is filed under the name Erythrobacter sp. ZXM230. Its description in RNAcentral is "bacterial SSU rRNA". It matches the Rfam family "Bacterial small subunit ribosomal RNA", at positions 127 to 661 of the family's 1533-position model. Lineage: Bacteria; Pseudomonadati; Pseudomonadota; Alphaproteobacteria; Sphingomonadales; Erythrobacteraceae. The record is from RNAcentral.